GACGAACGCUGGCGGCGUGCUUAACACAUGCAAGUCGAACGGAAAGGCCCUGCUUUUGUGGGGUGCUCGAGUGGCGAACGGGUGAGUAACACGUGAGUAACCUGCCCUUGACUUUGGGAUAACUUCAGGAAACUGGGGCUAAUACCGGAUAGGAGCUCCUGCUGCAUGGUGGGGGUUGGAAAGUUUCGGCGGUUGGGGAUGGACUCGCGGCUUAUCAGCUUGUUGGUGGGGUAGUGGCUUACCAAGGCUUUGACGGGUAGCCGGCCUGAGAGGGUGACCGGCCACAUUGGUACUGAGAUACGGACCAGACUCCUACGUGAGGCAGCAGUGGGGAAUAUUGCACAAUGGGCGGAAGCCUGAUGCAGCAACGCCGCGUGCGGGAUGACGGCCUUCGGGGUGUAAACCGCUUUCGCCUGUGACGAAGCGUGAGUGACGGUAAUGGGUAAAGAAGCACCGGCUAACUACGUG
Molecule: ribosomal RNA, 468 nt
Filed under: uncultured bacterium
Lineage: Bacteria
Description: partial 16S ribosomal RNA
Rfam family: Bacterial small subunit ribosomal RNA
Source: RNAcentral